AGUACCCCGAGGAAAAGAAAUCAACCGAGAUUCCCCCAGUAGCGGCGAGCGAACGGGGAGGAGCCCAGAGUCUGAAUCAGCGUGUGUGUUAGUGGAACGGUCUGGAAAGUCCGGCGAUACAGGGUGACAGCCCCGUACACGAAAAUGCACAUGCUGUGAACUCGAAGAGUAGGGCGGGACACGUGGUAUCCUGUCUGAAUAUGGGGGGACCAUCCUCCAAGGCUAAAUACUCCUGACUGACCGAUAGUGAACCAGUACCGUGAGGGAAAGGCGAAAAGAACCCCGGCGAGGGGAGUGAAAAAGAACCUGAAACCGUGUACGUACAAGCAGUGGGAGC
RNAcentral lists this ribosomal RNA (337 nucleotides) under Pluralibacter gergoviae. RNAcentral describes it as "bacterial LSU rRNA". It matches the Rfam family "Bacterial large subunit ribosomal RNA", at positions 205 to 580 of the family's 2925-position model. The record is from RNAcentral. Lineage: Bacteria; Pseudomonadati; Pseudomonadota; Gammaproteobacteria; Enterobacterales; Enterobacteriaceae.